Molecule: ribosomal RNA, 339 nt
Filed under: Oxycera marginata
Lineage: Eukaryota; Metazoa; Arthropoda; Insecta; Diptera; Stratiomyidae
Description: partial 16S ribosomal RNA
Source: RNAcentral
UCUUUUAAUUGAAGGCUUGUAUGAAUGGUUGGACGAGAUAUUAACUGUCUCAAUUUAAUUAUUAGAACUUUAUUUUUUAGUUAAAAAGCUAAAAUUUUAUUAAAAGACGAGAAGACCCUAUAGAUCUUUAUAGUAUUUAUAUUAAUUUUAUAAAGAAUAAUUUAAAAUAAAUAUAUUAAUCUAUUUUAUUGGGGUGAUAAUAAGAUUUAUAAAACUCUUAUUUAUUUAUUUACACAGAUUAGUGAUUUUUUGAUCCGUUAUUAACGAUUAUUAGAUUAAGUUACCUUAGGGAUAACAGCGUAAUUUUUUUAGAGAGUUCAUAUCGAUAAGAAAGAUUGC